AAAACGACUCUCGGCAACGGAUAUCUCGGCUCUCGCAUCGAUGAAGAACGUAGCGAAAUGCGAUACUUGGUGUGAAUUGCAGAAUCCCGUGAACCAUCGAGUCUCUGAACGCAAGUUGCGCCCGAAGCCAUUAGGCCGAGGGCACGCCUGCCUGGGCGUCACAC
This 164-nucleotide ribosomal RNA is filed under the name Prunus yedoensis (Yoshino cherry). RNAcentral describes it as "5.8S ribosomal RNA". It matches the Rfam family "5.8S ribosomal RNA". Rfam says of the family: 5.8S ribosomal RNA (5.8S rRNA) is a component of the large subunit of the eukaryotic ribosome. The record is from RNAcentral. Lineage: Eukaryota; Viridiplantae; Streptophyta; Magnoliopsida; Rosales; Rosaceae.